AUCUUUGUGUAGUGGCAGUAUCAUAGCCAAUGAGGUUUAUCCGAGGCACGAUUAUUGCUAAUUGAAAACUUUUCCCAAUACCUCACCAUGACAACUUGAAAUAUAGUCGGUGUUGACAAUUAAAAAAUAAA
Molecule: small nuclear RNA, 131 nt
Filed under: Salvator merianae (Argentine black and white tegu)
Lineage: Eukaryota; Metazoa; Chordata; Lepidosauria; Squamata; Teiidae
Description: U4 spliceosomal RNA (ENSSMRG00000010590.1)
Rfam family: U4 spliceosomal RNA
About the family: U4 small nuclear RNA (U4 snRNA) is a component of the major U2-dependent spliceosome. The structure of U4 snRNA from yeast and human has been reported. U4 snRNA presents a k-turn RNA motif in the 5p-SL related to recognition of Snu13 protein.
Source: RNAcentral